Molecule: ribosomal RNA, 402 nt
Filed under: Glycocaulis albus
Lineage: Bacteria; Pseudomonadati; Pseudomonadota; Alphaproteobacteria; Maricaulales; Maricaulaceae
Description: bacterial SSU rRNA
Rfam family: Bacterial small subunit ribosomal RNA
Source: RNAcentral
ACACUGGGACUGAGACACGGCCCAGACUCCUACGGGAGGCAGCAGUGGGGAAUCUUGGACAAUGGGCGCAAGCCUGAUCCAGCCAUUCCGCGUGGAUGAUGAAGGCCUUAGGGUUGUAAAAUCCUUUCAGCGGGGAAGAUAAUGACGGUACCCGCAGAAGAAGCCCCGGCUAACUCCGUGCCAGCAGCCGCGGUAAUACGGAGGGGGCUAGCGUUGUUCGGAAUUACUGGGCGUAAAGCGCGCGUAGGCGGAUCAGCCAGUCAGAGGUGAAAGCCCAGGGCUCAACCCUGGAACUGCCUUUGAUACUGUUGAUCUGGAGUUCGGUAGAGGUGUGUGGAAUUCCGAGUGUAGAGGUGAAAUUCGUAGAUAUUCGGAGGAACACCAGAGGCGAAGGCGACACAC